CCUACGGGGUGCAGCAGUGGGGAAUAUUGGACAAUGGGCGAAAGCCUGAUCCAGCCAUGCCGCGUGUGUGAAGAAGGCCUUCGGGUUGUAAAGCACUUUCAGUGGGGAAGAAAGCCUUGGGGCUAAUACCCUCGAGGAAGGACAUCACCCACAGAAGAAGCACCGGCUAACUCCGUGCCAGCAGCCGCGGUAAUACGGAGGGUGCGAGCGUUAAUCGGAAUUACUGGGCGUAAAGCGCGCGUAGGCGGUCUGAUAAGCCGGUUGUGAAAGCCCCGGGCUCAACCUGGGAACGGCAUCCGGAACUGUCAGGCUAGGGUGCAGGAGAGGAAGGUAGAAUUCCCGGUGUAGCGGUGAAAUGCGUAGAGAUCGGGAGGAAUACCAGUGGCGAAGGCGGCCUUCUGGACUGACACUGACGCUGAGGUGCGAAAGCGUGGGUAGCAAACAGGAUUAGAACCCGAGUAGUC
RNAcentral lists this ribosomal RNA (464 nucleotides) under Vreelandella stevensii. RNAcentral's name for it is "partial 16S ribosomal RNA". It matches the Rfam family "Bacterial small subunit ribosomal RNA", at positions 338 to 795 of the family's 1533-position model. The record is from RNAcentral. Lineage: Bacteria; Pseudomonadati; Pseudomonadota; Gammaproteobacteria; Oceanospirillales; Halomonadaceae.